UACAGAGGGUGCAAACGUUGUUCGGAAUUACUGGGCGUAAAGCGUGUGUAGGCUGUCAGAUAAGUCGGAUGUGAAAGCCCCGGGCUCAACCUGGGAAGUGCAUUGGAUACUGUCUGACUUGAGUACUGGAGAGGUUGGUGGAAUUCUCGGUGUAGAGGUGAAAUUCGUAGAUAUCGGGAAGAACAUCUGUGGCGAAGGCGGCCAACUGGACAGAUACUGACGCUGAGACACGAAAGCGUGGGGAGCAAACAGG
Molecule: ribosomal RNA, 253 nt
Filed under: uncultured bacterium
Lineage: Bacteria
Description: partial 16S ribosomal RNA
Rfam family: Bacterial small subunit ribosomal RNA
Source: RNAcentral